AUUUUACCUUCUUGAACCUGCUGUAUCUACUCAAAAGUGGAAGUUUUCACAGAUGAUGUUCAUCCUUCCUUUUGUGGAAACACUGGCUUCCAUUCUUCUCUUAAUCCUCUCCUUAUGGAGCCACACCAGGCAGAUGAAGCUACAUGGUAUUUAUUCCAGGGAUCCCAGCACAGAAGCCCAUGUAAGACCUAUAAAAGCUAUAAUUUCAUUUCUACUCCUAUUUAUUGUGCAUCAUUUCAUCAGUAUCAUACUAACAUUGGCCUGUCCUCUUCUAAACUUCG
This 281-nucleotide small RNA is filed under the name Pongo abelii (Sumatran orangutan). Its description in RNAcentral is "processed transcript". Lineage: Eukaryota; Metazoa; Chordata; Mammalia; Primates; Hominidae. The record is from RNAcentral.